RNAcentral lists this transfer-messenger RNA (355 nucleotides) under bacterium. RNAcentral's name for it is "MSPOR6 sp009839975 Standard tmRNA". It matches the Rfam family "transfer-messenger RNA". From Rfam's summary of the family: Bacterial tmRNA, also known as 10Sa RNA or SsrA, is named for its dual tRNA and mRNA-like properties. Its role is to liberate the mRNA from a stalled ribosome. RNAcentral also lists the same sequence under 1 other name. The record is from RNAcentral.
GGGGGUGACCAGGAUUCGACGGAGGUAAUUGCGAUACAGGUUGCAUGUCGAGGUCUCCGCAGGCCUCGUAAAAUAGGCGGAACAACUAUAAUUGCUGAUGAAGAAUUAGCACUAGCUGCUUAGUAAGCAGCUACGCUUGGCUGAUCUGCUGCCCGUCAGAGAUGCUAAAGUGCCGUAAUACGGGAUAGCGGUUUAGUUGUUCUCAAGGGGUAAAUCGCGAAACAUACUUGAGAUAGUCAUUUCUGAUUCCAGCACAGGGGAACAUAAAUGAUGAAAACUUAAACCUGUGAUAAGCAUGUAGUAGCCUUUAUCAAUAUGCUUUCGGACGCGGGUUCAAUUCCCGCCACCUCCAUCA